AUUGAACGCUGGCGGAAUGCUUUACACAUGCAAGUCGAACGGCAGCACGGGGGCAGCCCUGGUGGCGAGUGGCGAACGGGUGAGUAAUACAUCGGAACGUGCCCGGUCGUGGGGGAUAACGUAGCGAAAGUUACGCUAAUACCGCAUACGAUCUGAGGAUGAAAGCGGGGGACCUUCGGGCCUCGCGCGAUCGGAUCGGCCGAUGUCAGAUUAGGUAGUUGGUGGGGUAAAGGCCUACCAAGCCGACGAUCUGUAGCUGGUCUGAGAGGACGACCAGCCACACUGGGACUGAGACACGGCCCAGACUCCUACGGGAGGCAGCAGUGGGGAAUUUUGGACAAAGGGCGCAAGCCUGAUCCAGCCAUUCCGCGUGCAGGACGAAGGCCUUCGGGUUGUAAACUGCUUUUGUACGGAACGAAAAGGCUCUGGCUAAUACCUGGGGCUCAUGACGGUACCGUAAGAAUAAGCACCGGCUAACUACGUG
RNAcentral lists this ribosomal RNA (484 nucleotides) under uncultured bacterium. RNAcentral describes it as "partial 16S ribosomal RNA". It matches the Rfam family "Bacterial small subunit ribosomal RNA", at positions 30 to 507 of the family's 1533-position model. The record is from RNAcentral.